RNAcentral lists this long non-coding RNA (380 nucleotides) under Lonchura striata (white-rumped munia). RNAcentral's name for it is "domestica (Bengalese finch) lncRNA (ENSLSDG00000003315.1)". Lineage: Eukaryota; Metazoa; Chordata; Aves; Passeriformes; Estrildidae. The record is from RNAcentral.
GUCACCCUGGGGGUUUGGGGUGAAUCCGGGGGAUUUCGGGGCGGUUUUGGGGCGAUUUUUGGGCGAUUUUGGGUCGAUUUUGGGGCAGUUUUUGGGGUGAUUUUGGGGUGAUUUUGGGGCGAUUUUGGGGCAGUUUUUGGGUCGGUUUUUUGGCAGUUUUGGGGCAGAUUUUGGGUGGAUUUUGGGUGGAUUUUUGGUCAGUUUUUGGGGCAGAUUUUGGCCGUUUUCAGGCCGGUUUUUGGGUGGAUUUUGGCCGAUUUUGGCCCACCUGCGUGGCGCGCCGCGCCUGCCGCAUCAGGCGGCUCCGGGCCUUGCGCUGCGACUCCGACUCCUCGUCCCGCGCCGGCGGCUGGAACGGCCUGCGGGGUUGGGGAGAAAAA